Molecule: ribosomal RNA, 351 nt
Filed under: uncultured bacterium
Lineage: Bacteria
Description: partial 16S ribosomal RNA
Rfam family: Bacterial small subunit ribosomal RNA
Source: RNAcentral
CCUACGGGAGGCAGCAGUAGGGAAUAUUGCUCAAUGGGGGAAACCCUGAAGCAGCAACGCCGCGUGGAGGAUGAAGGUUUUCGGAUUGUAAACUUCUUUUGUUAGAGAAGAAAAUGACGGUAUCUAACGAAUAAGCACCGGCUAACUCCGUGCCAGCAGCCGCGGUAAUACGGAGGGUGCAAGCGUUACUCCGAAUUACUGGGCGUAAAGGGCGCGUAGGGGGGUUAGCAAGUCAGAUGUGAAAUCCUAUGGGUUAAACAUAGAAUUGCAUUUGAAACUGUUAUUCUAGAGUAUAGGAGAGGUAGGUGGAAUUCUUGGUGUAGGGGUAAAAUCCGUAGAGAUCAAGAAGAA